Tilletia walkeri is the source of this 190-nucleotide non-coding RNA. The record is from Rfam. NCBI's taxonomy places the organism in Eukaryota, Fungi, Basidiomycota, Exobasidiomycetes, Tilletiales, Tilletiaceae.
ACCUCGUCUAGCCUUUUGGCUUUGAUCAAGUGUAGUAUCUGUUCUGACAAAGUUGAUGCUUUGUCUUACUCCAUUGGAGUAAUCAUGCAUCUCAACGAUCUUUCGCCACCCCGCCCUUCACCAUGCUUGCAUGGCGGAGAGCGACCGAUGCCCUUGCCACUACACUCCUGGCUUGAGGCGUCGAACCUCU